This 839-nucleotide ribosomal RNA is filed under the name Tubeufia xylophila. RNAcentral's name for it is "LSU rRNA". It matches the Rfam family "Eukaryotic large subunit ribosomal RNA", at positions 79 to 943 of the family's 3401-position model. Lineage: Eukaryota; Fungi; Ascomycota; Dothideomycetes; Tubeufiales; Tubeufiaceae. The record is from RNAcentral.
CUCAGUAACGGCGAGUGAAGCGGCAAUAGCUCAAAUUUGAAAUCUGCUCUUUGAGCCGAAUUGUAAUUUGUAGAGGAUGCUUCGGCUUACGUUUCGGUCUAAGUUCCUUGGAACAGGACGUCAUAGAGGGUGAGAAUCCCGUCUGUGGCCGAGACUUCCGCCAUGUGAAGCUCCUUCGACGAGUCGAGUUGUUUGGGAAUGCAGCUCUAAAUGGGAGGUAUAUUUCUUCUAAAGCUAAAUACCGGCCAGAGACCGAUAGCGCACAAGUAGAGUGAUCGAAAGAUGAAAAGCACUUUGGAAAGAGAGUUAAAAAGUACGUGAAAUUGUUGAAAGGGAAGCGUUUGCGACCAGACUUGCCCGCGGAUGCUCAACCGGUCCUUCGGCCGGUGCACUCUUCCGCGGUCAGGCCAGCAUCAGUUCGAGUAGCCAGAUAAAGGCAUUGGGAAUGUGGCUCUCUUCGGGGAGUGUUAUAGCCCUUUGUGUAAUAUGGUUCAUUUGGACUGAGGCCCGCGCUUCGGCUAGGAUGCUGGCGUAAUGGUCGUAAGCGGCCCGUCUUGAAACACGGACCAAGGAGUCUAACAUCUAUGCGAGUGUUUGGGUGUCAAACCCGUGCGCGAAAUGAAAGUGAACGGAGGUGGGAACCUUUGGGUGCACCAUCGACCGAUCCUGAUGUCUUCGGAUGGAUUUGAGUAAGAGCAUAGCUGUUGGGACCCGAAAGAUGGUGAACUAUGCCUGAAUAGGGUGAAGCCAGAGGAAACUCUGGUGGAGGCUCGCAGCGGUUCUGACGUGCAAAUCGAUCGUCAAAUUUGGGUAUAGGGGCGAAAGACUAAUCGAACCAU